UCUUGAGUAAAGUAGAAGUGGCUGGAAUAAGUAGUGUAGCGGUGAAAUGCAUAGAUAUUACUUAGAACACCAAUUGCGAAGGCAGGUCACUAUGUUUUAACUGACGCUGAUGGACGAAAGCGUGGGGAGCGAACAGGAUUAGAUACCCUGGUAGUCCACGCCGUAAACGAUGCUAACUCGUUUUUGGGUUUUCGGAUUCAGAGACUAAGCGAAAGUGAUAAGUUAGCCACCUGGGGAGUACGUUCGCAAGAAUGAAACUCAAAGGAAUUGACGGGGGCCCGCACAAGCGGUGGAUUAUGUGGUUUAAUUCGAUGAUACGCGAGGAACCUUACCAAGGCUUAAAUGGGAAUUGACAGGUUUAGAAAUAGACUUUUCUUCGGACAAUUUUCAAGGUGCUGCAUGGUUGUCGUCAGCUCGUGCCGUGAGGUGUUAGGUUAAGUCCUGCAACGAGCGCAACCCCUGUCACUAGUUGCCAUCAUUCAGUUGGGGACUCUAGUGAGACUGCCUACGCAAGUAGAGAGGAAGGUGGGGAUGACGUCAAAUCAUCACGGCCCUUACGCCUUGGGCCACACACGUAAUACAAUGGCCGGUACAGAGGGCAGCUACCUAGCGAUAGGAUGCGAAUCUCGAAAGCCGGUCUCAGUUCGGAUUGGAGUCUGCAACUCGACUCUAUGAAGCUGGAAUCGCUAGUAAUCGCGCAUCAGCCAUGGCGCGGUGAAUACGUUCCCGGGCCUUGUACACACCGCCCGUCAAGCCAUGGAAGUUUGGGGUACCUGANAGUCGGUNACCGUANACANGAG
RNAcentral lists this ribosomal RNA (800 nucleotides) under unidentified microorganism. RNAcentral describes it as "bacterial SSU rRNA". It matches the Rfam family "Bacterial small subunit ribosomal RNA", at positions 640 to 1445 of the family's 1533-position model. The record is from RNAcentral.